RNAcentral lists this ribosomal RNA (365 nucleotides) under uncultured bacterium. RNAcentral describes it as "partial 16S ribosomal RNA". It matches the Rfam family "Bacterial small subunit ribosomal RNA", at positions 338 to 699 of the family's 1533-position model. The record is from RNAcentral.
CCUACGGGUGGCAGCAGUGAGGAAUAUUGGUCAAUGGCCGCAAGCCUGAACCAGCCAAGCCGCGUGAAGGAUGACGGUCCUACGCGUUGUAAACUUCUUUUGUCAAGGGACAAAGUGAGGCACGAGUGCCUUACUGUAUGUACUUUAUGAAAAAGGAUCGGCUAACUCCGUGCCAGCAGCCGCGGUAAUACGGAGGAUGCAAGCGUUAUCCGGAUUUAUUGGGUUUAAAGGGUGCGUAGGCGGUGAGUUAAGUCAGCGGUGAAAUGCCCCCGCUCAACGGGGUGAAGUGCCAUUGAUACUGCCUGGCUGGAAUGCGGAUGCGGUGGGCGGAAUGUGCGGUGUAGCGGUGAAAUGCGUAGAUAUGA